RNAcentral lists this ribosomal RNA (406 nucleotides) under uncultured bacterium. Its description in RNAcentral is "partial 16S ribosomal RNA". It matches the Rfam family "Bacterial small subunit ribosomal RNA", at positions 30 to 526 of the family's 1533-position model. The record is from RNAcentral.
AUCGAACGCUGGCGGCAGGCUUAACACAUGCAAGUCGAGCGAGCGGCGGACGGGUGAGUAAUGUCUGGGAAACUGCCAGAUGGCGGGGGAUAACUACUGGAAACGGUAGCUAAUACCGCAUACCAUCAGAUGUGCCCAGAUGGAAUUAGCUAGUAGGUGGGGUAAUGGCUCACCUAGGCGACGCUCCCUAGCUGGUCUGAGAGGAUGACCAUCCAACCUGGAACUGCGCCACGUUCCAUACGCCUACGGUAGGCAGCGGUGGGGAAUAUUGCCCAAUGGGCGCAAGCCUGAUGCAGCCAUGCCGCGUGUGUGAAGAAGGUCUUCGGGUUGUAAAGCACUUUCAGCGAGGAGGCGUUACUCGCCGAAGAAGCACCGGCUAACUCCGUGCCAGCAGCCGCGGUAAUAC